Molecule: ribosomal RNA, 446 nt
Filed under: uncultured bacterium
Lineage: Bacteria
Description: bacterial SSU rRNA
Rfam family: Bacterial small subunit ribosomal RNA
Source: RNAcentral
GCCAGACUCCUACGGGAGGCAGCAGUGGGGAAUAUUGCACAAUGGGGGAAACCCUGAUGCAGCGACGCCGCGUGAGGGAAGAAGGUUUUCGGAUUGUAAACCUCUGUCCUUGGUGACGAAAGAAGACGGUAGCCAAGGAGGAAGCCACGGCUAACUACGUGCCAGCAGCCGCGGUAAUACGUAGGUGGCAAGCGUUGUCCGGAUUUACUGGGUGUAAAGGGCGUGUAGCCGGGUUGACAAGUCAGAUGUGAAAUCCUGCGGCUUAACCGCAGAACUGCAUUUGAAACUGUUGAUCUUGAGUACUGGAGAGGCAGACGGAAUUCCUAGUGUAGCGGUGAAAUGCGUAGAUAUUAGGAGGAACACCAGUGGCGAAGGCGGUCUGCUGGACAGCAACUGACGGUGAGGCGCGAAAGCGUGGGGAGCAAACAGGAUUAGAUACCCUAGUA